This 1227-nucleotide ribosomal RNA is filed under the name Gerrhoceras sp. HYH-2006. RNAcentral describes it as "partial 16S ribosomal RNA". The record is from RNAcentral. Lineage: Eukaryota; Metazoa; Arthropoda; Insecta; Diptera; Tephritidae.
UGCAAAUCAAUAUAAAUUGAAUUAUAAGUUACUUAUUAAAAAAAUUUAUUUAUGGUAUUAUUUAUUAAAAAUAAUUAUAAAAAUUGGUUGUUUUAGUAUUUUUUUUGAAAAAAUAAAUUUUAUAAUAGUUAAUUUGUACUGUGAAGGUUAGUUGAAGUAAAUGAAAAAUUUUUAUAAAUAAAGAAUUUUUAGUUUAUUGUACCUUGUGUAUUAGGGUUUAUUAAUUAAUUAAUAAUUAUUUAUUUUUCUCGAUUUUAUAAGAGUUAAUAAUUUAUUAAAGUUAAUGUGUUAUAUUUAUUUUUUAUAAAUUAUUAGAAAUGAAAUGUUAUUCGUUUAUAAAGGUAUCUAGUUUUUUUAGAAAUAAAUUUAAUUUACAAAUUUUAAUUAAUCUUAUUUUUUUUUAUAAAAAUAAGAAGUUAUUAAUUUGAAUAUUUAAGGGGAUAAGCUUUUAAAUAAAUUUUUAAAAAUAUAUUUAUAUACAUAUAUAUAUAUAUAUAUAUAUAUAUGCAUAGAAUUAGUAAUUAUUAUUAAGUUUGUUUUAAACUAUUUAUUAAUUUAUAUUAUUUAUUGAUAUUUUAAUUUUUUAUAAAAAUUUUUUUUUUAAUUUAGUUUAAAAAUUAAUAAUGAUAAAAUUAGUAUAAAUAUUUGUGAAAAUAAAUUUAUUAGAUAAGUUUUUAUAAAGAAUUCGGCAAAUUUAUAUGUUCGCCUGUUUAACAAAAACAUGUCUUUUUGAGUUAAUUUUAAAGUCUGACCUGCUCAAUGAUUUAAUUUAAAUGGCCGCAGUAUUUUGACUGUGCAAAGGUAGCAUAAUCAAUAGUUUUUUAAUUGAAGACUUGUAUGAAUGGUUGGACGAAGCAUAAACUGUUUCAUAUAAAUUUAUUUUAGAAUUUUAUAUUUUAGUAAAAAAGCUAAAAUAUAAUUAAAAGACGAGAAGACCCUAUAAAUCUUUAUAUUUUAUUUAUAUUUUAAUUUUUUAAUUUAAUUUUAUUAAAAAAUAAAAUAAUAUUUUAUUGGGGUGAUAUUAAAAUUUAAUUAACUUUUAAUUUAAAUAAACAUUUAUUUAUGAUUUAUUGAUCUAUUAAUAAUGAUUAAAAGAAUAAGUUACUUUAGGGAUAACAGCGUAAUUUUUUUGGAGAGUUCUUAUUGAUAAAAAAGAUUGCGACCUCGAUGUUGGAUUAAGGGAUAAUUUUAGGUGUAGUAGCUUAGGUAUUAAGUCUGUUCGACUUU